Molecule: ribosomal RNA, 424 nt
Filed under: uncultured bacterium
Lineage: Bacteria
Description: bacterial SSU rRNA
Rfam family: Bacterial small subunit ribosomal RNA
Source: RNAcentral
UGAGGAAUAUUGGUCAAUGGGCGGAAGCCUGAACCAGCCAUCCCGCGUGCAGGAAGACGGCCCUAUGGGUUGUAAACUGCUUUUUCAGUGGGCGAAACCCUCGUACGCGUACGGGAUUGACGGUACACUGGGAAUAAGCAUCGGCUAACUCCGUGCCAGCAGCCGCGGUAAUACGGAGGAUGCGAGCGUUAUCCGGAUUUAUUGGGUUUAAAGGGUGCGUAGGCGGAUGGAUAAGUCAGUGGUGAAAUUCUGCAGCUUAACUGUAGACUUGCCGUUGAUACUGUUUAUCUUGAGUAUGGUCAAGGCAGGCGGAAUGUGUAAUGUAGCGGUGAAAUGCUUAGAUAUUACACAGAACACCGAUUGCGAAGGCAGCUUGCUGGGCCAUUACUGACGCUGAUGCACGAAAGCGUGGGGAGCGAACAGG